UACGUAGGGACCAAGCGUUGUUCGGAUUUACUGGGCGUAAAGGGCGCGUAGGCGGCCACGACAAGUCAGUUGUGAAAUCUCUGGGCUUAACUCAGAGCGGUCAACUGAUACUGUCGGGCUAGAGUGCAGAAGGGGCAACUGGAAUUCCCGGUGUAGCGGUGAAAUGCGUAGAUAUCGGGAGGAACAUCAGUGGCGAAGGCGGCCUUCUGGUCCAGUACUGACACUCAAGUGCGAAAGCGUGGGGAGCAAACAGG
This 254-nucleotide ribosomal RNA is filed under the name uncultured prokaryote. RNAcentral describes it as "partial 16S ribosomal RNA". It matches the Rfam family "Bacterial small subunit ribosomal RNA", at positions 524 to 776 of the family's 1533-position model. The record is from RNAcentral.